RNAcentral lists this ribosomal RNA (752 nucleotides) under Bacillus sp. (in: firmicutes). Its description in RNAcentral is "bacterial SSU rRNA". It matches the Rfam family "Bacterial small subunit ribosomal RNA", at positions 32 to 769 of the family's 1533-position model. Lineage: Bacteria; Bacillati; Bacillota; Bacilli; Caryophanales; Bacillaceae. The record is from RNAcentral.
CAGGCUGACGAGUGCUAUAAUGCAGUCGAGCGAAUGGAUUAAGAGCUUGCUCUUAUGAAGUUAGCGGCGGACGGGUGAGUAACACGUGGGUAACCUGCCCAUAAGACUGGGAUAACUCCGGGAAACCGGGGCUAAUACCGGAUAACAUUUUGAACCGCAUGGUUCGAAAUUGAAAGGCGGCUUCGGCUGUCACUUAUGGAUGGACCCGCGUCGCAUUAGCUAGUUGGUGAGGUAACGGCUCACCAAGGCAACGAUGCGUAGCCGACCUGAGAGGGUGAUCGGCCACACUGGGACUGAGACACGGCCCAGACUCCUACGGGAGGCAGCAGUAGGGAAUCUUCCGCAAUGGACGAAAGUCUGACGGAGCAACGCCGCGUGAGUGAUGAAGGCUUUCGGGUCGUAAAACUCUGUUGUUAGGGAAGAACAAGUGCUAGUUGAAUAAGCUGGCACCUUGACGGUACCUAACCAGAAAGCCACGGCUAACUACGUGCCAGCAGCCGCGGUAAUACGUAGGUGGCAAGCGUUAUCCGGAAUUAUUGGGCGUAAAGCGCGCGCAGGUGGUUUCUUAAGUCUGAUGUGAAAGCCCACGGCUCAACCGUGGAGGGUCAUUGGAAACUGGGACACUUGAGUGAAAAAGAGGAAAGUGUAAUUCCCUGUGUAGCGGUGAAAUGCGUAUAGAUAUGGAGAGAACACCAGUGGCGAGGCGACUUUCUGGUCUGUAACUGACACUGAGGGCGAAAACGCGGGGGAGC